This 491-nucleotide ribosomal RNA is filed under the name uncultured bacterium. RNAcentral's name for it is "partial 16S ribosomal RNA". It matches the Rfam family "Bacterial small subunit ribosomal RNA", at positions 29 to 506 of the family's 1533-position model. The record is from RNAcentral.
AGUGAACGCUGGCGGUAGGCCUAACACAUGCAAGUCGAACGGCAGCACAGUAAGAGCUUGCUCUUACGGGUGGCGAGUGGCGGACGGGUGAGGAAUACAUCGGAAUCUACUUUUUCGUGGGGGAUAACGUAGGGAAACUUACGCUAAUACCGCAUACGACCUACGGGUGAAAGCAGGGGAUCUUCGGACCUUGCGCGAUUGAAUGAGCCGAUGUCGGAUUAGCUAGUUGGCGGGGUAAAGGCCCACCAAGGCGACGAUCCGUAGCUGGUCUGAGAGGAUGAUCCGCCCCACAGGAAAGGGACAACGGUCCAGCCUCCUAGGGGAGGCAGAGGGGGGGAAUAUUGGAAAAGGGGCGAAACCCUGAUCCAGCCAUACCGGGGGGGUGAAGAAGGCCUUGGGGUUGUAAAGCCCUUUUGUGGGGAAAAAAAAGCAGCAGGUUAACACCCCGCUGUUCUGACGGUACCAAAAAAAUAAGCACCGGCUAACUUCGU